Molecule: ribosomal RNA, 253 nt
Filed under: uncultured bacterium
Lineage: Bacteria
Description: partial 16S ribosomal RNA
Rfam family: Bacterial small subunit ribosomal RNA
Source: RNAcentral
GACGAGGGGUCCUAGCGUUGUUCGGAAUCAUUGGGCGUAAAGCGUAUGUAGGCGGCUUUUCAAGUCAGGUGUGAAAUCCCAUGGCUUAACCAUGGAACUGCAUUUGAAACUGUAAAGCUUGAGUAUUGGAGAGGAUGGUAGAAUUCCUGGUGUAGUGGUGAAAUACGUAGAUAUCAGGAGGAAUACCGGUGGCGAAGGCGGCCAUCUGGCCAAAUACUGACGCUGAGAUACGAAAGUGUGGGGAUCAAACAGG